This 164-nucleotide ribosomal RNA is filed under the name Spinacia oleracea (spinach). Its description in RNAcentral is "5.8S ribosomal RNA". It matches the Rfam family "5.8S ribosomal RNA". Rfam says of the family: 5.8S ribosomal RNA (5.8S rRNA) is a component of the large subunit of the eukaryotic ribosome. It is transcribed by RNA polymerase I as part of the 45S precursor that also contains 18S and 28S rRNA. Functionally, it is thought that 5.8S rRNA may be involved in ribosome translocation. Lineage: Eukaryota; Viridiplantae; Streptophyta; Magnoliopsida; Caryophyllales; Amaranthaceae. RNAcentral also lists the same sequence under 1 other name. The record is from RNAcentral.
UAAACGACUCUCGGCAACGGAUAUCUCGGCUCUCGCAUCGAUGAAGAACGUAGCGAAAUGCGAUACUUGGUGUGAAUUGCAGAAUCCCGUGAACCAUCGAGUCUUUGAACGCAAGUUGCGCCCGAAGCCUUCUGGCCGAGGGCACGCCUGCCUGGGCGUCACGC